Molecule: small RNA, 60 nt
Filed under: Myotis lucifugus (little brown bat)
Lineage: Eukaryota; Metazoa; Chordata; Mammalia; Chiroptera; Vespertilionidae
Description: GRIK4 3 prime UTR element (ENSMLUG00000030432.1)
Source: RNAcentral
UAGAGGUGGCAGAGACAGGAACGGAGCCAAGGCUGCGGAGGCGGGAGGGGAGAUGCAGCC